This 85-nucleotide transfer RNA is filed under the name Blastopirellula sp. RNAcentral describes it as "tRNA-Ser". It matches the Rfam family "tRNA". Rfam says of the family: Transfer RNA (tRNA) molecules are approximately 80 nucleotides in length. Lineage: Bacteria; Pseudomonadati; Planctomycetota; Planctomycetia; Pirellulales; Pirellulaceae. The record is from RNAcentral. RNAcentral also lists the same sequence under 2 other names.
GGAUGGGUGGCCGAGUGGUCGAAGGCGGUAGUCUUGAAAACUACUGUAGGGCAACCUACCCUGGGUUCGAAUCCCAGCCCAUCCG